AAUUUUAAUUUGGAUUUUCUCUCCUUUUCCUCGCAUUUCUCCUUUCUCCUCAUAAACCUUUCUCCUCUCUCCUUCUCUUUUCGACAAAAGACCAGCCGGCAGCUUUCUCCUUUCUCCUCACACCGUUCACUUUUCGUCUGGCACCGAUCGUCGGUGAGUGUCCCCCACCUAGAGAAAAACGUCGGACGUUGUCGUUGUUGAACAGGUUGCCGAACGUGUCCCCGACCAUCGCCCUCGAUUUCCUUCUUGCAAUAAUAGCUUCCUUGCUUGCCGAAAAGACCCCUCGUUGCUAUAAGUUGACCCAACCAUUAGUAAUUUGACUGAAUGUUAAGAAUUUCUAUGGAUAUAACUAAUGUUACACUUAAAAUUAUGUUAUAAUAUAUACUAUAAUAUAUUGAAUAUUAAUUAUAUAUAUUAGGGAUUUAAAGUGUUACAUAGACACUUUUUAACUUGUUUUUUGAGUUAUAUUGAUAAUUUUACAGUUUUAAGGUUGACAUUGAUGUUAUGUGCAAAA
Cucumis melo (muskmelon) is the source of this 514-nucleotide long non-coding RNA. RefSeq lists it as uncharacterized. NCBI's taxonomy places the organism in Eukaryota, Viridiplantae, Streptophyta, Magnoliopsida, Cucurbitales, Cucurbitaceae. The record is from RefSeq and is a predicted model, not a curated record. The transcript has 2 exons.